This 1608-nucleotide long non-coding RNA is filed under the name Malus domestica (apple). RNAcentral's name for it is "long non-coding RNA (MDOM_LNC005805)". The record is from RNAcentral. Lineage: Eukaryota; Viridiplantae; Streptophyta; Magnoliopsida; Rosales; Rosaceae.
UUGGAAAACAUAUGAACAUGAUAGCUUCCGUUAUAUGGGCGUCACUGAAUGGAACAAGUUGAUUACUAGAAUCUUGACAACUCCCAGAAAAAAUGGAACACAAUACAUCUUAAAAAAGUGACCAAAUUGUAAAACCAAUCAAGGGGCAUGAAAAUGGAAAAAGGAAUCUAAUACUCAUAGAUGCAAAAUGGUUGACAUCGCGAUGUUGGAAACUCUGCUUUGUAUGGCUUUACCCUUAUGGCUGUCCUUUAUGCAGCUCUUCAACCUACUUGUAUUCAAACACAAAAAAAAGAAAACUUACUCAAAAAUGUAAAAAACUAAAACCCAAAAAACCCAGAAUUCGUGCAACUGCAAUCCAUGAUAUACCAACACCAAUAACAAUAACAGAAGGGAUGAAAAUAGCCUACUAUCAAAUAAUACGUCAGAGAAUGGAUCAUUCGGUUCCAUUGGAAUUGAAAAGAAUUGAAUUGAAUUUUUAAAUAAUUCGAACAAAUUUAACAAUGACAAGAGCAAACCCUAAUAAGAGAAAACCCUACCCACAUCAUAAAAAUUGAACAUAUAAAUUGAGAAUGGAGAAAAAGUAAGAUGUAAUUCUUCGAACACAUACCCGAUUCCUUGUUUUUCAAGAUCGUUGGGCUUUUCUAUCCAAUUUUGCCGCUCGUCAUCGUUGCUUCGAGCUCGCCAUUGCCGCUCUAGGUUGAUGGUUGUUUGAGCAAGAAGGAAAGGUAGUUUGAGAGAGAGAGAGAGAUAGGGAGAGGGAGAGGGAGAGUGAUGAACAAAUUAUAUUUCUCGCAAGUGCACGAAUUGAUAUGAUAGUAUAGCAAGCAAAUACGAGUGUCGUACCCACAGGGAUUUGCAAAGUCACCUAACUAAAUCCAAUUUUGUAGUACCCACUAGAAUUAAAAUAACGAAAACAACUAAACUACAAAAUUCAAAUAAUUAACCAAAGAGAAGUUGAUCAAGUAAUCUUAAGUGCAGUAAAUUAAAGAGAAUUUAUGUAAAUAAUUUCUGAAAACAAAGGUUGAAACACUAGUUAUCCGACUUUCACCAUAUCAAUCCAUUUCUAUGUCAUUAGAUAACUAGUAAGAACAAUUCAAUUCAGGUUCUAGGGUUCAUUCUCUCUUUAUUAUGAUUAUCUGUUAGGCGUUCGGGUGUAACCAAGUAUUCUUAAUCAUCAACUUAACCAUGGCGUCUAGUCUAAGUCAACAAUCAAAAAUUCAUUAAGUAAAAGAAGAACAACGAAAACCAAAAAGUGUCUUAGCAUGGCAUAUGCAUCAACAACAAUUCAUUCAUCCAAAAGAGCUAUCUCAAGGCUAAGCAUAUGGCGUCUACUAUAACCUUGUCUCAUACAUCUAAAAAUUCAUAUUAAAGGUAGCUAAUCAAUAACCUGAACAUAAAGAAUGAUAUAAGCACAAUGAACGAAACUAGAAACCGUGAAUUGAUAAAAGAAUGAAGUUAACUAAGACAUAGAAUUAUCAUGAAGGCUACAUCGGAUCCCUAACAAAGAAUUAGUUCAUCACGACCAUCAAAUUAUAAUAAGACAUCUUAUCACAAUCAUGAUAACCAAGUCGGAAAAGAUGUAAAAGCAAAUAAUGGAGAACCCCCCCC